UUCUCUUUCUCCUGAAUUUAGAAUAGAUCUAGGGUUUCUAAAUUUCCUGAAGUUUGUUCCUCCGGUGAACUCCGCCACUGCCGCCGCCGUGCUCGUCGCGCCGCCACCCCCUCUGAUUCAGGAAUCGGUGAUUCAAGAUGGUUUGAGAUGGUUUCAUCGGCAGUUCAUCUACAGCCCAAGACUCUGUUUUUAUAAGACUCAGCCUUCUGUUUGGAUUAUUAUUAAUUUAUAAACUGUUGUAACUAGAUGUAUUCUGUAGAUGUUAAAGAAAAUUGAUGUUAUCUCUGCUAUUCUUGAUUACCAUCUAUGAGUGAUUACUGAGUUGAAGGAAGAA
Long non-coding RNA from Salvia miltiorrhiza (redroot sage), 334 nucleotides. RefSeq lists it as uncharacterized. The transcript is spliced from 2 exons. NCBI's taxonomy places the organism in Eukaryota, Viridiplantae, Streptophyta, Magnoliopsida, Lamiales, Lamiaceae. The record is from RefSeq and is a predicted model, not a curated record.